This 2632-nucleotide long non-coding RNA is filed under the name Arabidopsis thaliana (thale cress). RNAcentral's name for it is "long non-coding RNA (ATHA_LNC000651)". Lineage: Eukaryota; Viridiplantae; Streptophyta; Magnoliopsida; Brassicales; Brassicaceae. The record is from RNAcentral.
UUCAUUUUUUUAAUCUCAGGUUCGUCUCCUUCCCAGAAAUGCUUCAAGAAAUUCAUGUGUUUUGGAAUCCGAUGCCACCAUGUGAAUAUCUCGUUAAGGUAACCUUGGUCUCCUCCGUUGUAAGACACAACUUCAUUAAUGUUAUCCAUUAGUAACUGGAAUGUUGAAUUAGAUGGCUCAACCACCAUUAGACCAGAGUUGAAGAGCGUAGCAUUGUUUCCAGUUGCUGAUAUCUCAGGGAACUCGAAGAGGAAAUCAAUGUUUCUCAGGAUAAGCAUGUCUGCAUCGAUGAAGAUGAUCUUACUGUAUUCAGUCAGUUGCCAAAGACGAAACUUGCUGUAGUUCCAUUCGUUGUAGGCAUUUGGUACAGCAUUCGGGUUCCUGAUUCUUUGAAACAUUUGAAUCUUCCAUCCAGCAGCUACCAAGCCACUUUUAUGGUAUUCGCUUAUCGUUUCAUCAACAAGUAUGACCAGAUCACGAGUAGAGCCUGACAUUCGAAUGCUCUGUGCAGCUGCAAUGGCUCCACAGACAUAAAAUUGGGCAGAAUGCAAGAUAGUCGCGUAAGCUUCUUUCUUUGCACCUGCGGAGUAGAAAUUAUCUGCAGUUGAAAUAAACAUAAUCAGCUUAGGAGGGGAGAACUAGCUGAGACUGAAAACGAAGAAACUUGCUACUAACCUUUAGCUUGAAGAGGAACAGAAAGUUCACAGGAACCAACAGGAAGCUGUAACUUUUGUCUUAGCUGGUGAAGAUUAGGCUUAUACAGCCAUAUGUUUCCUUGACGGGCAACAAGUUCUUGACCCGUAAAAAGAUUCGGUAUUGGAAAGCAAUCAGAUACCAAAAUCACAUGAACAUUAUGAAGUCCUUUAGAAGAAGCCGCCACUCGAGCUGCUGCAAGUUGUAAAUGCAAGCGAGCCACAUCUCUAGACCAUUUUCCUGAUUUAUCACACGGAAGCUUGGCAAUUACAAGAUCAAUCCGAGGCUUGCCAGGAAUUUGAAUCAAAGGCAGAGAAGGACAAGUAGGGACUUCGAAUUCUUCAACUUCAUCAAUCCAUUCCGGGUAUAAAGAUUCCCAUGUUAUGUUCUUUGCAGCAUAAUCUAGAUGCAAAGCUACAUGAUCACAGUCAGAUUUCGUUACCUCCUUGAAUCGAUCAAUCUCGUUAUCGUUAAGAUUUAUAAGACCAAUUCCUUGAUACUCGCUUCUACCAAAUACGUGCUUCUCAACAAGAUUUGACAUAUGGUUCCAGUUGAUCUCAGCUGUAGCUACAUAGCGAGGAUCAGUAGUAAGACCAAAACUAGUUGGAAUUUCAGGAAUUUGUAGCGGUGGAUAACGAAAACGGUAGAUCGUGAACAAAGCUCCAAGCAUUAUACAAAUCAACACAAGUUUCAGAGUGUUGAACUUGACACCCUUCUCAAUUCUUUGAAAUCUCCUCCUACUUGUCUUCUCACUACACACAACAAAACAAACGAAUGAGUCAUUAUCUAUGUCAAUCCAACAGAUAGAUAAACAUAGAUCGCUUGUGAAACACAUUUCUGAAUCAAAAACAAAAUCGAAGAUCUGAUUUCCAGAAAAGUCAACCAUGUGUGUGAAGCUACUAAGUUAACUAAGAAUAGUACGUAGUGUUCAUGAAACUAGAGAAACUAAUGAAGAAUAAGAAGAAGAAGACGAAGACUAACUUUGAGAACGAGAGUCGAUGUCUUGACUCCAUGGGACUUGAGGAAGGUAUCAUCGUCUCCGUAAGACCAGGGUCGGUUUCGAGAAUUUCAUAAUCGCCUGGUAAACAACAAAAGACGAGACAUUUUAGGGAUUUGGGAAGGAGAAAUUAAUUUGAUUUUGGACCAAGGCACAAAACGGUGCGUAUUAGGAAAAUGAGAUUUUUAGAAGUCCGUGUUUUGCAAAACGAACCUUUACUUAUCAGGUAUUUGUUAUUUUAACCCCUACUCUAAUGUUUGAAUAAAUUUUAACCAGAAAACGAAAAUCACACACAGUAGUACGGUUUUACGCGGUGGAGGAAGAAUCAGCAGCGACGGUGGAGUUGGUCUGAGUCUCACCCCAAUGCCAAAGCAUACUCUCCCAGAAACAGAAAUCUUCAAAACAAGUCGUAAGUCUCUUAUCUUUGAUCUUAAUCCUCCAAUGUCCGUCUCUGUAAUUCGCUUUCUCAGCUUGUCUCCGAUCCCACUCAAGUUGCGCCUUUUGUUUCGAACUCAGUAGACAAAACCUCUGCAAUUUCUUAGGCAUCGCGUCGUGCACUCUCCACCAAGUUUUGUGUGCUUCAUCGCUCGCGAAUUGAUGGUAUCCAACGACAUUCCAAUUGCAAUCGUAGUCUCUGAAGCAUACCCAUGGUUUGUUGUAACCUAGGUAAUGAAGAACGUAGAGUAUCGGAGGAUCAGCUCCAAAUAGUCUCGUCUUAGAUUUCCUGUGCUUAGGUGUGUCUCCUUCCCAGAAAUGCUUCAAGAAAUUCAUGUGUUUUGGAAUCCGAUGCCACCAUGUGAAUAUCUCGUUAAGGUAACCUUGGUCUCCUCCAUUGUAGGAAUUGAUAUCGUUGAUGUGAUCCAUUAGUAACUGGAAUGUUGAAUUUGAUGGUUCAAUCACCAUUAGACCGGAGUUGAAGAGCGUACCGUCGUUUCCAGUUGU